RNAcentral lists this ribosomal RNA (466 nucleotides) under uncultured bacterium. Its description in RNAcentral is "partial 16S ribosomal RNA". It matches the Rfam family "Bacterial small subunit ribosomal RNA", at positions 28 to 507 of the family's 1533-position model. The record is from RNAcentral.
GAUGAACGCUGGCGGCGUGCUUAACACAUGCAAGUCGAACGAUGAAGCCCAGCUUGCUGGGUGGAUUAGUGGCGAACGGGUGAGUAACACGUGAGUAACCUGCCCUUAACUCUGGGAUAAGCCUGGGAAACUGGGUCUAAUACCGGAUAGGAGCGCCUACCGCAUGGUGGGUGUUGGAAAGAUUUAUCGGUUUUGGAUGGACUCGCGGCCUAUCAGCUUGUUGGUGAGGUAGUGGCUCACCAAGGCGACGACGGGUAGCCGGCCUGAGAGGGUGACCGGCCACACUGGGACUGAGACACGGCCCAGACUCCUACGGGAGGCAGCAGUGGGGAAUAUUGCACAAUGGGCGAAAGCCUGAUGCAGCGACGCCGCGUGAGGGAUGACGGCCUUCGGGUUGUAAACCUCUUUCAGUAGGGAAGAAGCGAAAGUGACGGUACCUGCAGAAGAAGCACCGGCUAACUACGUG